This 467-nucleotide ribosomal RNA is filed under the name uncultured bacterium. RNAcentral's name for it is "partial 16S ribosomal RNA". It matches the Rfam family "Bacterial small subunit ribosomal RNA", at positions 28 to 506 of the family's 1533-position model. The record is from RNAcentral.
GACGAACGCUGGCGGCGUGCUUAACACAUGCAAGUCGAACGGAAAGGCCCUGCUUUUGUGGGGUGCUCGAGUGGCGAACGGGUGAGUAACACGUGAGUAACCUGCCCUUGACUUUGGGAUAACUUCAGGAAACUGGGGCUAAUACCGGAUAGGAGCUCCUGCUGCAUGGUGGGGGUUGGAAAGUUUCGGCGGUUGGGGAUGGACUCGCGGCUUAUCAGCUUGUUGGUGGGGUAGUGGCUUACCAAGGCUUUGACGGGUAGCCGGCCUGAGAGGGUGACCGGCCACAUUGGGACUGAGAUACGGCCCAGACUCCUACGGGAGGCAGCAGUGGGGAAUAUUGCACAAUGGGCGGAAGCCUGAUGCAGCAACGCCGCGUGCGGGAUGACGGCCUUCGGGUUGUAAACCGCUUUCGCCUGUGACGAAGCGUGGGUGACGGGAAUGGGUAAAGAAGCACCGGCUAACUACGU